GAACUAUUUUUUCUUGUUUUGAAAACAGGAUUUAAGAUUUAUUUCUUGUAGUUU
RNAcentral lists this transfer RNA (54 nucleotides) under Ancylostoma caninum (dog hookworm). Its description in RNAcentral is "tRNA-Ser". Lineage: Eukaryota; Metazoa; Nematoda; Chromadorea; Rhabditida; Ancylostomatidae. The record is from RNAcentral.